AGUGAACGCUGGCGGUAGGCCUAACGCAUGCAAGCCGAACGGCAGCACAGUAAGAGCUUGCUCUUACGGGUGGCGAGUGGCGGACGGGUGAGGAAUACAUCGGAAUCUACUUUUUCGUGGGGGAUAACGUAGGGAAACUUACGCUAAUACCGCAUACGACCUACGGGUGAAAGCAGGGGAUCUUCGGACCUUGCGCGAUUGAAUGAGCCGAUGUCGGAUUAGCUAGUUGGCGGGGUAAAGGCCCACCAAGGCGACGAUCCGUAGCUGGUCUGAGAGGAUGAUCAGCCACACUGGAACUGAGACACGGUCCAGACUCCUACGGGAGGCAGCAGUGGGGAAUAUUGGACAAUGGGCGCAAGCCUGAUCCAGCCAUACCGCGUGGGUGAAGAAGGCCUUCGGGUUGUAAAGCCCUUUUGUUGGGAAAGAAAAGCAGCAGGUUAAUACCCCGCUGUUCUGACGGUACCCAAAGAAUAAGCACCGGCUAACUUCGUG
Molecule: ribosomal RNA, 492 nt
Filed under: uncultured bacterium
Lineage: Bacteria
Description: partial 16S ribosomal RNA
Rfam family: Bacterial small subunit ribosomal RNA
Source: RNAcentral